AAAUCGGCGCUUUUCAGGGCCAUCAAAUGUGUUAAAAGAAUAAUAU
Non-coding RNA from Aedes aegypti (yellow fever mosquito), 46 nucleotides. The record is from Rfam. NCBI's taxonomy places the organism in Eukaryota, Metazoa, Arthropoda, Insecta, Diptera, Culicidae.